GAUGAACGCUGGCGGCGUGCCCAAUACAUGCAAGUCGAGCGAACAGACGAGGAGCUUGCUCCUCUGACGUUAGCGGCGGACGGGUGAGUAACACGUGGAUAACCUACCUAUAAGACUGGGAUAACUUCGGGAAACCGGAGCUAAUACCGGAUAAUAUAUUGAACCGCAUGGUUCAAUAGUGAAAGACGGCUUUGCUGUCACUUAUAGAUGGAUCCGCGCCGCAUUAGCUAGUUGGUAAGGUAACGGCUUACCAAGGCAACGAUGCGUAGCCGACCUGAGAGGGUGAUCGGCCACACUGGAACUGAGACACGGUCCAGACUCCUACGGGAGGCAGCAGUAGGGAAUCUUCCGCAAUGGGCGAAAGCCUGACGGAGCAACGCCGCGUGAGUGAUGAAGGUCUUCGGAUCGUAAAACUCUGUUAUUAGGGAAGAACAAAUGUGUAAGUAACUAUGCACGUCUUGACGGUACCUAAUCAGAAAGCCACGGCUAACUACGUG
This 497-nucleotide ribosomal RNA is filed under the name uncultured bacterium. RNAcentral describes it as "partial 16S ribosomal RNA". It matches the Rfam family "Bacterial small subunit ribosomal RNA", at positions 28 to 507 of the family's 1533-position model. The record is from RNAcentral.